GAACUUAGCAGAGAUUGCUUUUGGUGCCUUCGGGAACUCUGAGACAGGUGCUGCAUGGCUGUCGUCAGCUCGUGUUGUGAAAUGUUGGGUUAAGUCCCGCAACGAGCACAACCCUUAUCCUUUGUGCCAGCGGUUAGGCCGGGAACUCAAAGGAGACUGCCAGUGAUAAACUGGAGGAAGGUGGGGAUGACGUCAAGUCAUCAUGGCCCUUACGAGUAGGGCUACACACGUGCUACAAUGGCGCAUACAAAGAGAAGCGACCUCGCGAGAGCAAGCGGACCUCAUAAAGUGCGUCGUAGUCCGGAUUGGAGUCUGCAACUCGACUCCAUGAAGUCGGAAUCGCUAGUAAUCGUGGAUCAGAAUGCCACGGUGAAUACGUUCCCGGGCCUUGUACACACCGCCCGUCACACCAUGGGAGUGGGUUGCAAAAGAAGUAGGUAGCUUAACCUUCGGGAGGGCGCUUACCACUUUGUGAUUCAUGACUGGGGUGAAGUCGUAACAAGGUAAGCGUAGUGCU
RNAcentral lists this ribosomal RNA (517 nucleotides) under uncultured bacterium. Its description in RNAcentral is "bacterial SSU rRNA". It matches the Rfam family "Bacterial small subunit ribosomal RNA", at positions 991 to 1509 of the family's 1533-position model. The record is from RNAcentral.